GUGGUUUCCUCCAGAAUCCCCUCUGCAAACUACAGACAUUGAGAUUGAGGGGAUGCAGUUUGUCAAAGAUCAGCUGUGAUCAUCUGGUAUCGGCACUGAAGUCCAACCCGUCCCAUCUGACAGAACUGGACCUGAGAGAGAACAACCUGAAGGAGUCAGAUGUUCAGCAGCUGCAGGAUCUUGUAAAGAGUCCAGACUACAAACUAGAAACUCUGAAGUGGAGGUGAUGAUCUUAGUGGAGGAGAGAAAAUGAGCUGUCCUGAUGAUCCAGAGGUUGAAGCUGCAGCAGUUUGACUUUAAAGAGACUAUGACUGGAUCCUGAUGAUGAACUCUGACCUUAGAGAUGUUGAUCCUG
Molecule: long non-coding RNA, 355 nt
Organism: Fundulus heteroclitus (mummichog)
Lineage: Eukaryota; Metazoa; Chordata; Actinopteri; Cyprinodontiformes; Fundulidae
Exons: 3
Source: RefSeq, a predicted model, not a curated record